This 680-nucleotide ribosomal RNA is filed under the name Neomargarodes chondrillae. RNAcentral describes it as "bacterial SSU rRNA". It matches the Rfam family "Eukaryotic small subunit ribosomal RNA", at positions 1 to 579 of the family's 1831-position model. The record is from RNAcentral. Lineage: Eukaryota; Metazoa; Arthropoda; Insecta; Hemiptera; Margarodidae.
UCUGGUUGGAUUCUGCCAGUAGUCAUAUGCUUGUCUCAAAGAUUAAGCCAUGCAUGUCUAAGUUCAAGCCGUUCCGUACGGUGAAACCGCGAAAGGCUCAUUAAAUCAGUUAUGGUUCCUUAGAUCGUACCCUCGUUACAUGGAUAACUGUGGUAAUUCUAGAGCUAAUACAUGCCGAUAGAGUUCCGACCGACGUGUCGCCGGUAGCGGACGCCGCGUUGCGACGUCGGCUUCGGCGUUCGCGGUGUGGAAGGAACGCUUUUAUUAGAUCAAAACCGGCCAGGCGGCGGAGCGGGCGCUCGUCGGCCGUUCCGUCGCUAGCGGCCCGCGCAAAGACUUGGUGACUCUGAAUAACUUUCGCAGAUCGCACGGCCUUGCGCCGGCGACGGGUCUUUCAAAUGUCUGCCUUAUCAACUGUCGACGGUAGGUUCGACGCCUACCGUGGUGGUAACGGGUAACGGGGAAUCAGGGUUCGAUUCCGGAGAGGGGGCCUGAGAGACGGCCACCACUUCUAAGGAAGGCAGCAGGCGCGCAAAUUACCCACUCCCGGCACGGGGAGGUAGUGACGAAAAAUAACGAUACGGGACUCUUACGAGGCCCCGUAAUCGGAAUGAGUACACUUUAAAACCUUGGUCGCACGAGGAUCAAUUGGAGGGCAAGUCUGGUGCCGCCAGCCGCGG